GGGGAUAUCGCUUAGAGGUAGAGCACUUGCCCAGCAUGUAUGAGCCCUAGGUUCAAUCCCCAGUACUACCA
Ictidomys tridecemlineatus (thirteen-lined ground squirrel) is the source of this 71-nucleotide non-coding RNA. The record is from Rfam. NCBI's taxonomy places the organism in Eukaryota, Metazoa, Chordata, Mammalia, Rodentia, Sciuridae.